GGAUCGGGCCUUUCAGGCAUCCUCUCCCAAAACUUUUACAGGGCUGGUCCUCGGACCGGCCCUUUCUUUUUGCGUUU
RNAcentral lists this small RNA (77 nucleotides) under Novosphingobium panipatense. RNAcentral describes it as "suhB". It matches the Rfam family "Makes More Granules Regulator RNA (mmgR)". From Rfam's summary of the family: SuhB later renamed mmgR (makes more granules regulator) was a putative non-coding RNA found multiple times in the Agrobacterium tumefaciens genome and related alpha-proteobacteria. Lineage: Bacteria; Pseudomonadati; Pseudomonadota; Alphaproteobacteria; Sphingomonadales; Sphingomonadaceae. The record is from RNAcentral.